ACGUACGCUGGCGGCACGCCUAACACAUGCAAGUCGAACGAAGUAGCAAUACUUAGUGGCAGACGGGUGAGUAACAUGUAGGUAUCUGCCCUUUGGCCUGGAAUAACACGAGGAAACUUGUGCUAAUACCGGAUAAGUCUUUACAGAGAAAGCUUUAUGCACCAUUGGAUGAGCCUGCACUUGAUUAGUUUGUUGGUGGGGUAAUGGCCUACCAAGACUGUGAUCAAUAGCUGAUUUGAGAGGAUGAUCAGCCACAUUGGGACUGAGACACGGCCCAAACUCCUACGGGAGGCAGCAGUGGGGAAUCUUGCACAAUGGAGGAAACUCUGAUGCAGCGAUGCCGCGUGAGUGAAGAAGGCCUUUGGGUUGUAAAGCUCUUUCGUCGGGGAAGAAAAUGACUGUACCCGAAUAAGAAGGUCCGGCUAACUUCGUGCCAGCAGCCGCGGUAAUACGAAGGGACCUAGCGUAGUUCGGAAUUACUGGGCUUAAAGAGUUCGUAGGUGGUUGAAAAAGUUAGUGGUGAAAUCCCAGAGCUUAACUCUGGAACUGCCAUUAAAACUUUUCAGCUAGAGUAUGAUAGAGGAAAGCAGAAUUUCUAGUGUAGAGGUGAAAUUCGUAGAUAUUAGAAAGAAUACCAAUUGCGAAGGCAGCUUUCUGGAUCAUUACUGACACUGAGGAACGAAAGCAUGGGUAGCGAAGAGGAUUAGAUACCCUCGUAGUCCAUGCCGUAAACGAUGUGUGUUAGACGUUGGAAAUUUAUUUUCAGUGUCGCAGGGAAACCGAUAAACACACCGCCUGGGGAGUACGACCGCAAGGUUAAAACUCAAAUGAAUUGACGGGGACCCGCACAAGUAGUGGAGCAUGUGGUUUAAUUCGAAGAUACGCGCAGAACCUUACCAACACUUGACAUGUUCGUCGCGACUCUAAGAGAUUGGAGUUUUCGGUUCGGCCGGACGAAACACAGGUGCUGCAUGGCUGUCGUCAGCUCGUGUCGUGAGAUGUUGGGUUAAGUCCCGCAACGAGCGCAACCCUCACUUUUAGUUGCCAUCAUUAAGUUGGGCACUCUGAAAGAACUGCCAGUGAUAAGCUGGAGGAAGGUGGGGAUGACGUCAAGUCCUCAUGGCCCUUACGUGUUGGGCUACACACGUGCUACAAUGGUAUCUACAACAGGAAGCAAGACUGCGAAGUUAAGCAAAUCCCUAAAAGAUACCUCAGUUCGGAUUGCACUCUGCAACUCGAGUGCAUGAAGCUGGAAUUACUAGUAAUCGUGGAUCAGCGUGCCACGGUGAAUGCGUUCCCGGGUCUUGUACUCACCGC
RNAcentral lists this ribosomal RNA (1317 nucleotides) under uncultured Alphaproteobacteria bacterium. RNAcentral's name for it is "bacterial SSU rRNA". It matches the Rfam family "Bacterial small subunit ribosomal RNA", at positions 29 to 1393 of the family's 1533-position model. Lineage: Bacteria; Pseudomonadati; Pseudomonadota; Alphaproteobacteria. The record is from RNAcentral.